This 487-nucleotide ribosomal RNA is filed under the name uncultured bacterium. RNAcentral's name for it is "bacterial SSU rRNA". It matches the Rfam family "Bacterial small subunit ribosomal RNA", at positions 28 to 507 of the family's 1533-position model. The record is from RNAcentral.
GAUGAACGCUGGCGGCGUGGAUUAGGCAUGCAAGUCGAACGGUAUCAUCCUUUCGGGGGUGAGAGAGUGGCGAACUGGUGAGUAACACGUAGGUUAUCUACCCUCAAGACGGGGACAACCCAGGGAAACUUGGGCUAAUACCGGAUGUGAGCAACUUUUAGUUGUUUGAAAGGUGGCGUAAGCUGUCGCUUGGGGAUGAGCCUGCGUCCUAUUAGUUAGUUGGUGAGGUAACGGCUCACCUAGGCAAUGAUAGGUAGGCGGCCUUAACGGGUGGUCGCCCACACUGGGAUUGAGAUACGGCCCAGACUCCUACGGGAGGCAGCAGUCGAGAAUAGUCUACAAUGGUCGGAAGACUGAUAGUGCGACGCCGCGUGAACGAUGAAUCCCUUCGGGGUGUAAAGUUCUUUUAUAUGUGAGCAGUGCUUCUUAUAUUAACAGUAUGGGGAGAGAGAUAUUAGCAUAUGAAUAAGCAACGGCUAACUCCGUG